Molecule: small RNA, 133 nt
Filed under: Spisula solidissima (Atlantic surf clam)
Lineage: Eukaryota; Metazoa; Mollusca; Bivalvia; Venerida; Mactridae
Source: RNAcentral
UCCCCAUAUUCAUAUAAAUUAAAAAGAGCCAUGUUUUUGUUAAACAGGCGGAGAAAAAUUUUUGCCGAGUUCCUUAGAAAUAGAUUUACAAAACAUACAUUCUUUUCAAUAAAAAUUUUACUAGAAGCAGCCA